Molecule: non-coding RNA, 313 nt
Organism: Hordeum vulgare subsp. vulgare (domesticated barley)
Lineage: Eukaryota; Viridiplantae; Streptophyta; Magnoliopsida; Poales; Poaceae
Source: Rfam
UGCUAGGCGAAGGGGUUGAGUGCCGCACCCUAGAUGGCUAAAGUCCAGUAGCCGAAAGCAUCACUAGCUUAUGCUCUGACCCGAGUAGCAUGGGGCACGUGGAAUCCCGUGUGAAUCAGCAAGGACCACCUUGCAAGGCUAAAUACUCCUGGGUGACCGAGAGCGAAGUAGUACCGUGAGGGAAAGGUGAAAAGAACCCCCAGUGGGUAGUGAAAUAGAACGUGAAACCGUGCUGAGCUCCCAAGCAGUGGGAGGGGAAAGUGAUCUCUGACCGCGUGCCUGUUGAAGAAUGAGCCGGCGACUCAUAGGCAGU